GUGGGUUUUAAUAGCCAUAAUGUCUUAUUAAUCUUAUCUUUACAUUUUUAAUGCUUCCAGUUAUCUUUCUUUUGGUAUGUGGAAUUUUUUAAAAGUUUGUCAAUUGCAAUUUGGGCAGUAUACAGCUUGUUCUUAUUUUACUAGGAUGCUUCAGAAUAAAAUGUUUAAAUGUAGUUUUACAAACUCUGGAAAUAAAACCACAUCCACUGGAUUCUCACCAACUCACUAGCAGUGAGCCACUCUCUGUACUCCUUCUGCAUUGGUCUAACUUCCUGUCUCUUGUUUCUGCACCUGUACAGUUUUUAUGGCUUUACUCCAUGGUUUUCCCCUUUCCAGAAUGUCUAUUCCUCUUACUGCAGUCACUGUGAAUUUUCAACUUUCUGUAUCUUCAAAACUCAAGCCUCAUCAAUCUUUUAAUCUGAUCUUUUUGUUUUAUCCUAUCCCAAAGCUUGAAGAAUGUCUGCACCAGAGAGAAUAGCUGUGGUAAAACACAGUAGCCCCCUCCAUCUACGGAGACUUUUCAAGAUCCCUGGCGGAUGCCUGCCUGAAGCCACAGGUUUCAUUUCCAAUCAAAAAACCAUGUGGAGCGAAUUCUCACCAGACUCUGUGUUUAUGGAACAGUACAGAUACAACCUGACAGUUUCCUUCUGAAGACAACCAGUGGGUCACACAACUAUGAUUUCACACAAGCAGACUGCCAAAAAAGCCAACACAUCCUGCCAGUAGUGCUGUCCCAAAUGGCCACCUGCCAGC
This 753-nucleotide long non-coding RNA is filed under the name Fukomys damarensis (Damara mole-rat). RNAcentral describes it as "lncRNA (ENSFDAG00000025461.1)". The record is from RNAcentral. Lineage: Eukaryota; Metazoa; Chordata; Mammalia; Rodentia; Bathyergidae.